This 328-nucleotide ribosomal RNA is filed under the name uncultured eukaryote. RNAcentral's name for it is "partial 18S ribosomal RNA". It matches the Rfam family "Eukaryotic small subunit ribosomal RNA", at positions 1470 to 1796 of the family's 1831-position model. The record is from RNAcentral.
CCCUUAGAUGUCCUGGGCCGCACGCGCGCUACACUGAUGCAUGCAACGAGUUUAUAACCUUGGCCUGAAAGGUCUGGGUAAUCUUUUGAACGUGCAUCGUGAUAGGGAUAGAUUAUUGCAAUUGUUAAUCUUGAACGAGGAAUUCCUAGUAAACGCGAGUCAUCAGCUCGCAUUGAUUACGUCCCUGCCCUUUGUACACACCGCCCGUCGCACCUACCGAUUGAAUGGUUCGGUGAAGAUCUCGGACUUCGAUAUUUAUUCUUUAUUGAGUUUAUAUUGUGGGAAGUUAUCUAAACCUCAUCAUUUAGAGGAUGGUGAAGUCGUAACA